UCGGUGAACAAGACUCAAAAUUGAAAUCAGAUUCAAAAGAACUUUGACUUUUGAAAACCUUAUAAAACAUAACCUCUCAUUUCUCUCAAAACAUUCUUCCGACUUUUGAAGAUCCAAAGUUGACGAUGAUAUAAGAGAAAUCGGAGUUGGAGCUUUAUUUUUCUGCAUUUCUCCCUUGACAGGUUUAGUGUUUUCUUCCAAAUCUUUCUUUCUCUAUCUCUUUCUCUCGAUCUUCAUUUUCGUAUUAAUGGAGAUAUGCAUGCGACAAUGGAAGGAGAUGUGUUUACUUUAAUGUUGUAAUUUUAACUUUAUGCGUUGGUUCUAACCCUAAUUAGUCAAAAUCCUCCCCCCAAGGUAGCAAAUGUUCUUGAUGUAUGUGAUGCAGGUUGUGCUCUUUAAUCCCUAUGCACACACAUAUUUGCGUUUUUGGUGGUCAUAGGUCUCCAACCAAACAAUAAAUUUACAUUCUCUGAAAAUACAGGUGGAUUCUACUAAUCGCCUUUUCUGUUGCCUGAAGUUUUCUCACUCCUGUUUUUCAAUCUCUCCAUGGCUUUAAAGAGUCGGCCUGCAAGCCAAAUCAUUGAAGUUGAAGAAGACGAGGAGUCUGAAUUGAAGUUAAAGCCGAAGAAGACGAGACGUCUGAUGCCCUGGGUUCUCGAGAAGACGAUUCAAACAAGUAUUCAUUGACUGCAAAUCUUAAUUAAACAUACGGUUCUCUCACUUUCAGAUUAACAAAGUUCUUGAUCCUCCUAAUUUUCUUCUUUCUGAAAUUCAGAACUGCUGAAGUGAAGUUUUCCAUCAGUGGUGCCAUUACUAUUUCGUGUGUUUGUGUUAGGUUUCGAUUGAUACCAAAAAAUGGAAAGAUAAGAGAUUUUGUGCCAUUUGGUUUGGCGAUUUAAGGAAUGACUAUAAGAAUUGAAACUUGCUUUGAGCUUCAAUAUUUGAAUUGGACAUCUUAUUAGCUUUAGGUGAGCUUAAUUUUUGGAUUCAUUGAUGCUAUAUAGGAAGAAGUAUGGUGAUGUUUUGGUGUUGGACUAAACGAUCAGAUCUCAGAGCUUUAUCAAAUCAGUUCAAAGUUCAAACGAUGCUACUUUCAUAUUCAUGGGUCCUCUUCAAUCAUCAGGGGAACUACAAUUGGUGUUCUCAAGAGUCCAAAUUCAGCCUUUCACAGGACUGGAUCCAAGUUUGGCAACUGUGUGCGAUUCUUUGUUGCACCUGUUCAGGUCAAACCGAAAUAUGAAGAUAAGGACAAGGGGCGUCCACGAAUGAAUAAAUAAAUAUUUGCUCAGUGUGUUAGAAUUGUAACAGAUGAAGGUAUGUCUACUACUAAUUCAUGUACUUCAUACAACUUUCAGAAUGUAAAAAGAUUGUGUGA
This is a non-coding RNA of Lactuca sativa (garden lettuce), 1375 nucleotides long. Lineage: Eukaryota; Viridiplantae; Streptophyta; Magnoliopsida; Asterales; Asteraceae. The record is from RefSeq and is a predicted model, not a curated record.